Molecule: ribosomal RNA, 279 nt
Filed under: uncultured bacterium
Lineage: Bacteria
Description: partial 16S ribosomal RNA
Rfam family: Bacterial small subunit ribosomal RNA
Source: RNAcentral
UGCCAGCCGCCGCGGUAAUACGGAGGAUCCAAGCGUUAUCCGGAAUCAUUGGGUUUAAAGGGUCCGCAGGCGGUCUUUUAAGUCAGAGGUGAAAUCCUACAGCUCAACUGUAGAACGGCCUUUGAUACUGAAAGACUUGAGUUAUUGUGAAGUGGUUAGAAUGUGUGGUGUAGCGGUGAAAUGCAUAGAUAUUACACAGAAUACCGAUUGCGAAAGCAGAUUACUAACUGUAUACUGACGCUGAGGGACGAAAGCGUGGGUAGCGAACAGGAUUAGAUA